Cyanistes caeruleus (blue tit) is the source of this 589-nucleotide long non-coding RNA. NCBI's taxonomy places the organism in Eukaryota, Metazoa, Chordata, Aves, Passeriformes, Paridae. The record is from Ensembl.
UAGGGCAUGACUUUCUGAGGAAAGGCUGACGUUUGACUACUGAGAAAUAAUUAAAAGAAGCCCCUUGUGCUGAGUUCCAGAAUUAGAAAACUUGAUUAAAAAAACCCCACAAUUACAUUUCAAGAUCCUCUUUUAAGGCUUCACCUGUUAUAACUAAACCAGUCAGCUCCUGACAGCUGGAUAAUGGCUCAGCUGAAGAACACACAUGGAGCAGGGUACUGCUGCAUGCAAAUGCCAUGGGAAAAACAGGAGACACAAGCACAGAAGGCAACCAGGAGGUUUUUAAGGACAAGUAAAAGGAGAUGAAAACAAGAAAAUGACUGAAAUGGAAAUCUCAAAGACUGCCAAUCAAGGAACAAUUUGAUUAUUCAUCACAAGCACUCUAGUUUCAAGAGUAAAAAGUCUUAAGUAAGAAGAGAUUAUGAUUACCUUUGUGGAAGCAGUUCAGCUGCCCAAGGAGCUGUGAUAAUGCCAUCAGAGCUGCACAGAAAAGCCUUCCUGACUGGCCCAGCUACUAUGGACAUAUAUCCUGAUGAAGCAAAAAAUGACAUUAGAAGUUUAUUUUUGGGCAGCUUUUUCCCUCAGUCAG